RNAcentral lists this ribosomal RNA (428 nucleotides) under uncultured bacterium. RNAcentral describes it as "partial 16S ribosomal RNA". It matches the Rfam family "Bacterial small subunit ribosomal RNA", at positions 354 to 796 of the family's 1533-position model. The record is from RNAcentral.
GUGGGGAAUAUUAGGCAAUGGGCGAAAGCCUGACCUAGCAACGCCGCGUGAAGGAAGAAGGCCUUCGGGUUGUAAACUUCUUUUAUGAGGGACGAAGGACGUGACGGUACCUCAUGAAUAAGCCACGGCUAACUACGUGCCAGCAGCCGCGGUAAUACGUAGGUGGCGAGCGUUGUCCGGAUUUACUGGGUGUAAAGGGCGCGUAGGCGGACUGGCAAGUCAGAUGUGAAAUACAGGGGCUCAACCCCUGAACUGCAUUUGAAACUGUUGGUCUUGAGUAUCGGAGAGGCAAGCGGAAUUCCUAGUGUAGCGGUGAAAUGCGUAGAUAUUAGGAGGAACACCAGUGGCGAAGGCGGCUUGCUGGACGACAACUGACGCUGAGGCGCGAAAGCGUGGGGAGCAAACAGGAUUAGAUACCCCGGUAGUCC